AUGCUUAUUGAUGUUGCUAGUGAGAAAGUGAAAGGGCUAAUUUCUUUCUUCGAGGGGUACAGGGAAACUGGUUUCUUAGAAGCAUUGGAAAUAGCCAAAGAAAUUGCACUUGAGAUGGAUAUUGGUGCAACAUUUCGUAAAAGGAGAGAAAUUAAAAGAAAGAAACAGUAUGAUGAGAACCCAGACGACACAAAUAGUGCCACACGGUCUGCAGAGGAAUCAUUUAGAAUCAACUAUUUUACACCAAUUGUCGAUCAAGCAAUUUCCUCACUCACAAGGAGAUUUGAGCAAUAUCAAGGUUACCAGAAAAUUUUUGGUUUCUUAUUUACCUCUAAAAACAUUGCAUUCAUCGGAUAA
RNAcentral lists this ribosomal RNA (357 nucleotides) under Triticum aestivum (bread wheat). RNAcentral describes it as "partial small subunit ribosomal RNA". Lineage: Eukaryota; Viridiplantae; Streptophyta; Magnoliopsida; Poales; Poaceae. The record is from RNAcentral.